CUUGUAGGCGGUUCGUCGCGUCCGGUGUGAAAGUCCAUCGCUUAACGGUGGAUCCGCGCCGGGUACGGGCGGGCUUGAGUGCGGUAGGGGAGACUGGAAUUCCCGGUGUAACGGUGGAAUGUGUAGAUAUCGGGAAGAACACCAAUGGCGAAGGCAGGUCUCUGGGCCGUCACUGACGCUGAGGAGCGAAAGCGUGGGGAGCGAACA
Molecule: ribosomal RNA, 207 nt
Filed under: uncultured bacterium
Lineage: Bacteria
Description: partial 16S ribosomal RNA
Rfam family: Bacterial small subunit ribosomal RNA
Source: RNAcentral